This 19190-nucleotide long non-coding RNA is filed under the name Triticum aestivum (bread wheat). RNAcentral's name for it is "long non-coding RNA (TAES_LNC006354)". The record is from RNAcentral. Lineage: Eukaryota; Viridiplantae; Streptophyta; Magnoliopsida; Poales; Poaceae.
AAGGGCCAUCGGUAAAAAUCUGGGAAAUCUAAUGAAGACAGCCAAGUCACUAAGGUAGCGAGGAGGAGUGUCGGUGUCAAAACCGGCGGAUCUUGGGUAGGGGGUCCCAAACUGUGCGUCUAGGCCGAAUGGUAACAGGAGGCAGGGGACACGAUGUUUUACCCAGGUUCGGGCCCUCUUGAUGGAGGUAAAACCCUACGUCCUGCUUGAUUAAUAUUGAAGAUAUGUGUAGUACAAGAGUAGAUCUAUCAUGAGAUCAGAGAGGCUAAACCCUAGAAGCUAGCCUAUGGUAUGAUUGUAUGUUGUGAUUGUUGUUCUACGGACUAAAACCCUUCGGUUUAUAUAGACACCGGAGAGGGUUAGGGUUACACAAGGUCGGUUACAAAGGAGGAGAUAUCCAUAUACGUAUUGCCUAGCUUGCCUUCCACGCCAAGUAGAGUCCCAUCCGGACACGAGACGAAGUCUUCAAUCUUGUAUCUUCAUAGUCUAACAGUCCGGCCAAUGGAGAUAGUCCGGCUAUCCGGAGACCCCCUAAUCCAGGACUCCCUCGGUAGCCCCCGAACCAGGCUUCAAUGACGACGAGUCCGGCGCGCAGUAUUAUCUUCGGCAUUGCAAGGCGGGUUCCUCUCCAAAUUCUGUGUACCUGUCGAAAUAAUGUCCGGUUCCUUGUGAUGCUUUGUACUCCUUGGCUUCUACACCCAAUAAUGGCCACUUUCCACGUGUCGAGCGAAUGUGAAGAGCCAGGGUGUUUUCACAUUUACCCCCUAGCUAUGUAAAUGAGCCGCCUAUUUAAAAAGACGAGGAUUCAGAUCCAAAUCACAUCAUCCUCCCUUGCCGAGUCUUCAUCAGAGCGUACCCGACAGAGAUCCAUUCCACCAUGGCCGGUCGACGCAGCUCCUCCUCUCGCACCCCUAGUUCCAAGCCUGGAGAUUGGGAGAGAUGUUCCAUCCCGCACAGCAAAUUGGUGAUGCUUCAGUCCAAGGGAUUUCUUCCCCCGGCGUACCUGGUCCCGGUUCGAGCCGGGCUUGCCACCUACAAUGGCGGAGAGCAAGCGGAGAGCCGUCCCAAUCCCUCCAAGGGAGAGCGGGUAUGCCUUGUCCCUUAUCUGGUAAGAGGGAUCGGAUUCCCAAUUCAUCCAUUUCUCCGGGGGCUUCUGGAGUUCUAUGGCCUCCAGCUGCACAACCUUACGCCUGCCUCCCUGCUGCAUAUCGCGGGAUUCGUAGCCCUUUGCGAGUUAUUUUUGGGCUAUGAGGCCCAUUUCGCUCUGUGGAAGAAGCUGUUCUGCCUUGUGCCCCGUUCUAAGAAGGGAUCAAUAUAUCAAGUGGGUGGAGCCGAAGUGUGGCGUAUUGCCGGGACCGGAUACCUGUCUGGGACCCCGAAGAAGACGCCGAAGACUGGCCUUCAGAAUGGUUUUAUAUAGAAGAUGUCCCCCUUCCGGACCCUAUUCGGAUCGGCCUUCCUGAGUUCGACAACGCCCCUUUGAAGAAGCACCGGAGCUGGCGUCCACGGAGCUCCCUGGAGGAAGACGACAGGGACAUUCUUUAUCUGAUGAGCCGGAUAAGUUCUUUAGCUCGAUCCGGAUUGACCAUGAUCGAGGUCAUGGCUAUAUGCAUUAUGCGGGGGGUGCAGCCGCUCCAGUAUAGAGGCCACCCCAUGUGGGAUUUCAACGGGGAGGAUGACGCCACCCGCCACGGCCGCAAAGGGCUGGGACCGGCUGCUGAUCUAAUAAAGAUCUUGUCCACUUUGUACAAGGGAGAAGAGCAGGAAUUCCUCCAUGCCAACCCGCAGGGCGGAUUCUCUAUGUACAAUCCUCCGAGCUGGGUAAGCGGAGACUUUUUCUCGCCCAUCCGUUUCGUAUUCCUGUAGUUUAAGUAUUCAUUCUAUCGAUUUCAUCGCAGGAGCUGCGCCAGGCAGUAAAGGAGAUAAACAACCCUCCUCCAUAGCCUGAGGACCCUGGACGGUCCCUUGACAAGGCCUCCCAGGAGGAUCUGGACAUAUCCAUGGAGCUGAUUGACAGGGUAUUUUACCAAGGGAGUAAUGACAAUACCUUGGUGGCCAUUACGGCCGAUUACCCUGGGCUAGUUCCAGCCUCACAGGUGACUGAGACCAAAAUCCCAGCACUUAAAAAGCGAUCCGUCCUUGUGCUCUUUUCUUAUUGCCGUAUAACAGCCGUGUUUUGCAGGGGAGGUCCUCGGGGCAGAAGGCCGAGCCUGUGGCAACUAGCCAACAAGGGGCCGCUAGGCCAGGCAGGCUGAAAAGAUCCGUAGUCCGGAUUGAGGCACCGGCGUAGCAGUAUGGCGCGCCGUCUUUAUUGCAAGACAUUAUUUACAGAGGCGUGUUAAUGCCCAUGCCUUCUUUUCAGGAAAAAGAGCGCUCGCCGGACUAUACCCGGAGAGGCUACCAAUCGCACCUCCACAAGCCAGGCUCCAAGGCCGGACUCAGAGGUGGGAACGAGUACCAGGCGUGCGCCGGGUGCUCCUCCGACAGAGGAUACGGAUAGACUGUCCGCCACCCAUUCCGAGGUGGAAAGUGCCAUGAACCACAGACGUCGCCGGACUGUUCUUCGUGACGCUUGUUUCUCCUAAGAGGCAUUGGAUGCCUUCAACUCGGGAGACGCGCACCUCCGUGCCGCUCAAAAUGGUCUAGCCAGAGCCACGGAGCAGUAUGUAAAAGACAUACGGGUGAGAAAAUUUGAUGAUUAUAUAUAUCAGUAGCCCCUGAUACUUGAAACAAUUAGGAUAAUUGGUUUAAGGAUCAUUUGUUAUGUAGGUUCUUACAGAAAAGAAUACUCAACUGUCCCAGGAGCUGGAAGAGUGCAAAGUCCAACUUCAGGCCGCACGGCCGCAUCAGGGGAGCCCAAAGAGACCCCCUCUGGUAACAUAUCCAUCAAAUGAUAAGUAUCAUAUUAGAGUGCAGCUUUAUAUGCAGAUCUGACGAUAACAUUGCAGAUGACGCUGGAGUGAAUCCGGAUAAGCAACAGCUCAUACGCUAGCUGAAGGCCAGUGAGAGCGUGCUUACAAGGGUGAGACAGGAGAAGAAUGAUCUCCAAGAUGCCAACACCAAGCUGGGCGUGGAACUAAAAGAUGUUCGUGCCCAACUGUCGGACUCUGUUAAGGAGAAUCGGCGGCUUCGACGCGGCAAAUUUAGUAAGUGCUUGAAUGAACUUUGAAAAAGAGUUUGGCGAGGAAGUUGGCUGACAGAGUUAUGUCUGUAGGUAUGCUAACAGGUCGUCCUGCCGAGGAGAUGCCUAGUUCAACGGGUGAUCUUCCCGAGCUCGCACAGUUGCACGAACGAGUUCGGUAGGUGAUGCAGGGCAUUGCCCAGGCCUUGUGGCCGUUCGUCUCCAUACCCGAAGGCCUUGGAGAGCUUGCAGAAAAGCUGAAGGGAGCAUGGCGGCGCUUCCGAUUAUGGAAGAUAUCGGCCUGCCGUAAGGGCGCCAGGGAAGCUUGGGCAGUGGUGAAGACACGGUACACGAAGGCUGACCCGAACCACAUGGCCGAAGUCAGACCUGUGGGGCCUGAUGGCAAGGAGAUCCCUGUGAAUUUAGUGUACGGCCAAGUAGAAUUGGCCGCAAAGUAUUCCCAACAGGACUGUAGACUAGACAGCCUAUUGGAUGGCAUUGAAGAGGAAUUCAACCAGUCAAAUUGACUAUGUAAUUUUAAAGUGACAUAUAUGAUGCCUUUUAGCCGGAUUGUAGAUCGUUUGUCGUGGCGGACCUUUUCGCUUCAACCUCGGGACCCGACAGUCCGGAGUGUAUCCGAAUACCCUCUCGGUUAUAUAAGAACCGGGGCAUGUGUGGAGACCAGGCAUAGGGGUCAUUAGUUCUUUAUCAGACAAGUGCCCAACUAGUUAUGUUAUAUUACAUGGGUAGUAAGAAACAUCUUCCAGGGAGAAUAGUUCCGUUAAGGGUUCCUUUCCCUGGGUAGGCAUGCCCUAAAGUGCAUGUCCAGACUGCGACAAGAAGCGCAGUAAAAAUGUCUGGGGGCAGAUAUGGAUAAUAGAUAAAAGUCAUCUUUUGUUCACCGACCGAAUAUUCUCUUAAGAACGCUAGCUUUUGGCUUCACCCAGUCUGAGGUACACGUCCGGCUGACCCGGCGGUAACAAUCGCAGAGGUGCUCCCCUUAUGCCCUAGCCGAAUUAACGGGAACGUAGGGCAUAAAUACAAGAGCCAGGCAACCCAGCUUGGCCAAAACUUAAGUCAUAUCGAUGCAUAUAAUGGUGAAAAAAGGUACAUGCAAAAGUAUAACACAUGUGUUGGGCGUGGGUCCCAGGUAAAUAAUUUAAGCUUCUGUGAGAGAAGCCCCCAGGAAUGAAGAGUGCGGCUAGCGCAUCUGUGAUGUAUGAGUGAGGCACAAGGUGACCCUUGAAGGCCUAGGGAGAUAAAAAGAAAGAAAGGGAAACAAGACAGAUGAUGCAUAUGCAGAAAAUGGACGAAGGGAGGGGACUAACAUAAAGUCCGGAGCUAGGCGUAGAAUCUUCGGAGCCUGGCUGCGUUCCAUGGGUUCGGCUCGAGUCGACUGGUCGAUGCAUCCCGCAGUUAGUACGCUCCACCGGUCAGAACUUGGUCGAUAAUGAAGGGACCUUCCCAUUUGGGCUCGAGCUUGUUCUUUUUCUUAUCUGACAGCCGUAGAACUAGUUCGCCAACGUUAUAAGUUUUGGCCCAUACUUAUCUGCUUUGGUAUCUCCGAGCCUGUUGCUGGUAAAAUGCGGAACGGGCUUUGGCUACGUCGCGCUCUUCCUCAAAUGUGUCCAGACCGUCCUGCUGAUCGAGCUCGGCUUCUCUUUCUUCAUACAUGCGCACUCGAGGUGAGUCAUGAGUUAUGUCACGGGGCAGGACUGCCUCUACGCUGUACACCAUAAAAAAUGGUGUAUAUCCGGUACUACGAUUCAGCGUGGUCCGCAGUCCCCAGAGUACGGAGUCGAGCUCCUCUACCCAGUGCGUAUCGGACUCCGUUAAGGAGCGCACUAAUCGGGGUUUAAUGCCGCUCAUUAUAAGACCAUUUGCUCGUUCGACUUGACCAUUGGUUUGUGGGUGAUAGACUGAAGCGUAAUCGAGCUUGAUGCCCAUUUUACUGCACCAGAGUUUUACCUCGUCGGCCGUGAAGUUCGUGCCGUUAUCAGUGAUGAUGUUGUGGGGGAUGCCGUAACAGUGUACAACCCCGGAUAUGAAAUCUAUCACCGGUCCGGAUUCGGCUGUUUUUACCGGUUUAGCCUCUAUCCAUUUGGUGAAUUUAUCCACCAUGACCAAUAAGUAUUUUUCCUUGUGGGUUCCCCCUUUAAGGGGUCCGACCAUGUCAAGCCCCCAGACCACAAAUGGCCAUGUAAUGGGGAUCGUUUGGAGGGUGGUGGGUGGCAUGUGGCUUUGAUUUGCAAAUAGCUGGCAACCGGUGCAACAUUGGACCAAGUCCUGUGCAUCUGCCCCGGCCGUUGGCCAAUAAAAUUCUGUGUGGAAGGCUUUGCUUACAAGAGCCCGGGCUGCGGCGUGAUGACCGCCAAGUCCGGCAUGAAUUUCUGCCAAAAGAUUCCGCCCUUCCUCUUCGGAGAUGCACCUUUGAAGGACUCCGGUAGCGCUUUUUUUGUACAAUUCUCCCUCGUGGACCCUGUAGGCUUUGGAUCGCCGCACUAUGCAGCGUGCCUCAUUUUGGUCCUUCGGAAGUUCCUGUCUAAUUAGGUAGGCCAGGAAUGGUUCUGUUCACGGGGCAAUAAUGGCCAUUAUUUCGUGGGUUGAUUGUGUUAUUUCGGUGGCGGAGCCUCCAAUUGUGUCAGAGAGUUCGGUAUCAGGUAUUUUGGCCGGGUCCGGACUGUUGUUACCGGUGUCCCCUUCCCAUGCUACGGAUGGCUUAAAAAUCCUUUCCAGAAAAAUGUUGGGAGGGACCGCGUCGCGUUUUGAGCCAAUGCGGGUGAGGAUAUCCGCCGCCUGAUUGUUUUCCCGAGCCACAUGGUGAAAUUCAAGCCCCUCGAACUGAGCUGACAUUUUUAGGACGGUGUUGCGAUAAGCGGCCAUUUUUGGAUCCUUGGCAUCAAAGUCUCCAUUUAUUUGGGAUAUCGCGAGGUUUGAAUCCCCACGCACCUCUAGGCGUUGAAUGCCCAUGGAUACUGCCAUCCGGAGACCAUGUAGAAGGGCCUCAUAUUCGGCUGCGUUGUUGGAGUUCGUAUACAUUAUCUGCAGUACGUAUUGAAUGGUGUCUCCUGUUGGGGACGUCAAAACGACGCCAGCCCCCAGACCAGCCAACAUUUUGGAGCCGUCGAAGUGCAUGAUCCAGUUUGAAUAUGUGUCAUACUCUUUAGGGAGUUCGGCUUUCGUCCAUUCAGCAACGAAGUCAGCCAAAACUUGCGAUUUAAUAGCUCGCCGUGGCUUGUAAGUUAUGUCGAAUGGGAGGAGCUCAACGGCCCAUUUGGCAAUCCGGCCCGUCGCGUCGUGGUUGUUUAUAAUAUCGUUAAGUGGUACUUCCGAGGCUACCGUUAUCGAACACUCUUGAAAGUAGUGUCGCAGCUUUCGAGAUGCCAUAAAUACCGCGUACGCUAUCUUUUGAUAAUGCAGGUACCGUGAUUUGCAUGGAGUAAGGACAGUGGACACGUAGUAAACCGGCUUUUGAAGGGGAAAUUUGUGUCCGUCCAUUUCUCGCUCGAUGACAAGCACUGCGCUUACUACUUGAUGAGUUGCCACAAUGUAUAAUAGCAUUGGUUCGCCAAUGUUUGGCGCGGCCAGGACUGGGUUUGUUGCCAAUAUGGCUUUUAUUUCAUUGAGUCUGGCCGUGGUGGCGUCCAUCCACUCGAAGUGUUCGGUGUGCUGGAGGAGGCGAUAAAGGGGUAAUGCCUUUUCUCCCAAGCGGGAGAUAAAGCGGCUUAGAGCCACCACGCAUCCAGUUAAUUUUUGUAUUUGUUUGAGGUCUGUUGGGGUAGCCAACUAUGACAACGCUCGGAUUUUGGCCGGAUUAGCUUCAAUACCUCUACCGGAGACAAUGAAUCCCAGGAGCUUUCCUGCUGGUACGCUGAAAAUGCAUUUUUCCGGAUUGAGCUUGAUGUCAUAUGUUCGGAGGUUGUCGAAUGUGAGCCUCAAGUCGUCUACUAGAGUUUUGACAUGCUUGGUUUUAACGACCACGUCAUCCACGUAUGCCUCCACUGUUUUGCCGAUCUGGUUUGCCAUGCAUGUCUGAAUCAUGUGCUGGUAUGUUGCACCGGCGUUUUUUAGCCCGAAGGGCAUUGUGUUGAAGCAGAAUGGGCCGUAUGGUGUGAUGAAUGCCGUUGCGGCUUGGUCUGGCUCUGCCAUUUUGAUUUGAUGGUAGCCGGAGUAUGCGUCGAGGAAACACAAUGAAUCGUGUCCUGCGGUAGCAUCGAUGAUUUGCUCGAUGCGGGGGAGGGGGAAGGGAUCCUUUGGGCAGGCCUUGUUAAGGUCCUUAAAAUCGACGCACAAGCGCCAGGAUUUGUCCUUGUUUGGUACCAUCACCAGGUUUGCUAGCCAGUCCAGAUGUUUUAUGUCUCUGAUGAAUCCGGCCUCCAAUAGCUUGGGUAGUUCCUCUCCCAUGGCUUGUCUUUUAGGCUCGGAGAAACGUCGAAGAGCCUGCUUGACUGGCCUGAAUCCUUUUAGGAUAUUUAGGUUGUGUUCAGCCAACCUGCGUGGGAUUCCUGGCAUGUCUGAAGGGUGACGGGCAAAAAUAUCCCAGUUCUCGCGUAGGAACUUUCGCAGUGCAGCGUCGACAUCAGGGUUUAAUUGUGCCCCGAUGGAAGUGUUAGAAAUAUGCCCUAGAGGCAAUAAUAAAUUGGUUAUUAUUAUAUUUCCUUGUUCAUGAUAAUCGUUUAUUAUCCAUGCUAGAAUUGUAUUGAUAGGAAACUCAGAUACAUGUGUGGAUACAUAGACAACACCAUGUCCCUAGUAAGCCUCUAGUUGACUAGCUCGUUGAUCAAUAGAUGGUUACGGUUUCCUGACCAUGGACAUUGGAUGUCAUUGAUAACGGGAUCACAUCACUAGGAGAAUGAUGUGAUGAACAAGACCCAAUCCUAAGCCUAGCACAAGAUCGUGUAGUUCGUUUGCUAAAGCUUUUCUAAUGUCAAGUAUCAUUUCCUUAGACCAUGAGAUUGUGCAACUCCCGGAUACCGUAGGAGUGCUUUGGGUGUGCCAAACGUCACAACGUAACUGGGUGGCUAUAAAGGUACACUACGGGUAUCUCCGAAAGUGUCUGUUGGCUUGGCACGAAUCGAGACUGGGAUUUGUCACUCCGUGUAAACGGAGAGGUAUCUCUGGGCCCACUCGGUAGGACAUCAUCAUAAUAUGCACAAUGUGACCAAGGAGUUGAUCAUAGGAUGAUGUGUUACGGAACGAGUAAAGAGACUUGCCGGUAACGAGAUUGAACAAGGUAUCGGGAUACCGACGAUCGAAUCUCGGGCAAGUACAAUACCGCUGGACAAAGGGAAUUGUAUACGGGAUUGAUUGAAUCCUCGACAUCGUGGUUCAUCCGAUGAGAUUAUCGUGGAACAUGUGGGAGCCAACAUGGGUAUCCAGAUCCCGUUGUUGGUUAUUGGCUGGAGAGUUGUCUCGGUCAUGUCUGCAUGGUUCCCGAACCCGUAGGGUCUACACACUUAAGGUUCGGUGACGCUACAGUUGUUAUGGUAAAUAGUAUGUGGUUACCGAAGGUUGUUCAGAGUCCCGGAUGAGAUCCCGGACAUGAUGAGGAGCUCCGGAAUGGUCCAGAGGUGAAGAUCGGUAUAUUGGACGAAGGGUAUUGGAGUCCGAAGUGUUCCGGGGGUAUUAGGCUAUGGCCAGCAUGACCGAAAGGUGUUUCGGGAGCCCCGGCAAGUGUGGGAGGGCCUCAUGGGCCAAAGGGGAAGGGGCAAACCAGCCCACUAAGGGGUGGUGCGCCCCCCACACCCUUUCCCAUGUUACUUGGGGGGUUGGGGCGCCUCCACCUGGCUUGGGAGGCAAGCCUCCACCUGCUUGGCUUGGGGGCAAGUCUCCCUAGGAUUUUCCCUAGGGAGAUCCAAUCUGCCUAGCCGCCGCCCCCUAGGGGAAACCCUAGUGCGCCUCCCCCUCUCCCCUUGCCCCUAUAUAUAAUGGAGGGGUGGGAGGGCAGUCGUGACCUCUUCCCUGGUGCAGCCCUCCCUCCUCCAACUCUUCCUCCUCCUCCGUAGAGCUUAGCGAAGCCCUGCAGGAAUACCACAAGCUCCACCACCACGCCGUCGUGAUGCUGGAGUUCUCCCUCAACUUCUCCUCUCCCCUUGCUGGAUCAAGAAGGAGGAGACGUGCCCGGGCUGUACGUGUGUUGAACGCGGAGGCGCUGUCCGUUCGGCGCUAGAUCGGAAUCAACCGCGAUCUGAAUCGCUGCGAGUACGACUCCUUCAUCCGCGUUCUUGCAACGCUUCCGCUUAGCGAUCUACAAGGCUAUGUAGAUGCACUCCCCUUACCCUCAUUGCUAGAUUACUCCAUAGUUUGAUCUUGGUGAUGCGUAGAAAAUUUUAAAUUUCUGCUAUGAUCCCCAACAGUGGCAUCAUGAGCUAGGUCUAUGCGUAGUUUCUAUGCACGAGUAGAACACAAAGCAGUUGUGGGCGUCGAUUUUGUCAAUUUACUUGCCGUUACUAGUCUUAUCUUGAUUUGGCGGCAUCGUGGGAUGAAGCGGCCCGGACCGACCUUACACGUACUCUUACGUGAGACUGGUUCCACCGACUGACAUGCACUAGUUGCAUAAGGUGGCUAGCGGGUGUCUGUCUCUCCCACUUUAGUCGGAUCGGAUUCGAUGAAAAGGGUCCUUAUGAAGGGUAAAUAGAAAUUGGCAUAUCACAUUGUGGUUUUCGCGUAGGUAAGAAACGUUCUUGCUAAGAAACCUAUAGCAGCCACGUAAAAACUUGCAACAACAAUUAGAGGACGUCUAACUUGUUUUUGCAGCAUAUGCCUUGUGAUGUGAUGAAUGAUAUAUGUGAUGUAUGAGAUUGAUCAUGUUCUUGUAAUAGGAAUCACGACGUGCAUGUCAAUGAGUAUGACAACCGGCAGGAGCCAUAGGAGUUGUCUUAAUUUAUUUAUGACCUGCGUGUCAACAUAAAUGUCAUGUAAUUACUUUACUUUAUUGCUAAAGCGUUAGCCAUAGUAGUAGAAGUAAUAGAUGACGAGACAACUUCAAGAAGACACGAUGAUGGAGAUCAUGAUGAUGGAGAUCAUGGUGUCAUGCCGGUGACAACGAUGAUCAUGGAGCCCCGAAGAUGGAGAUCAAAAGGAGCAAAAUGAUAUUGGCCAUAUCAUGUCACUAUUUGAUUGCAUGUGAUGUUUAUCAUGUUUUACAUCUUAUUUGCUUAGAACGACGAUAGCUUAAAUAAGAUGAUCCCUCGUAAUAAUUUCAAGAAAAGUGUUCCCCCUAACUGUGCACCAUUGCGAAGGUUCGUUGUUUCGAAGCACCACGUGAUGAUCGGGUGUGAUAGAUUCUAAUGUUCGAAUACAACGGGUGUAAGCCAGAUUUACACAUGCAAUACACUUAGGUUGACUUGACGAGCCUAGCAUGUACAGACAUGGCCUCGGAACACGGAAGACCGAAAGGUCGAGCAUGAGUCGUAUAGAAGAUAUGAUCAACAUGAAGAUGUUCACCGAUGUUGACUAGUCCGUCUCACGUGAUGAUCGGACACGGCCUAGUUGACACGGAUCAUGUUUCACUUAGAUGACUAGAGGGAUGUCUAUCUGAGUGGGAGUUCAUUAAAUAAUUUGAUUAGAUGAACUCAAUUAUCAUGAACAUAGUCUAAAUUGUCUUUGCAAAUAUGUUGUAGAUAAAUAGCUCACGUUGUAGCUCCCUGUUUCAAUACGUUCCUAGAGAAAGAUUAAGUUGAAAGAUAUUGUAAGCAAUGAUGCGGACUAGGUCCAUAGUCCGAGGAGUGCCCUCACUGCUACACAGAAGGCUUACGUCUUUGAUGCACCGCUCGAUGUGCAAACCCCUACAACGUCGUCUGUGGAUGUUGUGAACACAUGACAGACACAUCCUGAUGACUACAUGAUAGUUUAGUCCACCAUACUUUACGGCUUAGAAUCGGGAUUCCAAUGACGUUUUGAACGCCAUAGAACAUAUGAGAUGUUCCAAGAGCUGAAAUUGGGAUUUCAGGCUCAUGCCCGUGUUGAGAGGUGUGAGACCUUUGACAAGUUCUUUUGCCAACAGGAUGGAGGAGAAUAGCUCAGCUAAUGAGCAUGUGCUCAGAAUGUCUGGGUGCUACAAUCACUUAAAUCAAGUGGGAGUUAAACUUCCAGAUAAGAUAGUGAUUGAUAGAGUUCUCUAGCCACUAUCACUAAGCUACUAGAUCUUCAUGAUGAACUAUGACAUGCAAGGGAUGGAGUUGAUCCCGGAGCUGUUCGCGGUGCUUAAGACCGCAAAAGGUAGAAAUCAAGAAGGAGCAUCAAGUGUUGAUGGUUUAACAAGACCACUGGUUUCAAGAAGGGCAAGGGCUAGAAGGGAAACUUCAUGGAUGGCAAACCAGUUGCCGCUCCAGUGAAGGAACCCAAGGUUGAACCCAAACCCGAGACUAAGUGCUUCUAUUGUAAGGGGAACGGUCACUGGUAGCGGAAUUACCCCAAAUUCAUGGUAGAUAAGAAGGCUGGCAACUUCAACAAAGUAUAUACGUGUUAUUAAUGUGUACCUUACUAGUACUCCUGGUAGCACCUGGGUAUUGGAUACCGGUUCAGUUGCUAUUAUUGGUGACUUGAAGCAAAAGCUACAGACUAAACGGAGACUGGCUAAGGGCGAGGUGACGAUGUGUGUUGGAAGUGUUUCCAAAGUUGAUGAGAUCACCAUCGCACGCUCCAUCUUCCUUCGGGAUUAGUAUUGAACCUAGAUAUAUGUUAUCAGGUGUCUACGUUGAGCAUGAAUAUGAUUAGAUCAUGUUCAUUGCAAUACGGUUAUUCAUUUAAGUUAGAGAAUACUGGUUAUUCUGUUUACAUGAAUAAUACCUUUCAUGGUCAUGCAGCCUAUGUGAAUGGUUCAUUGAAUCUCGGUCGUGGUAAUACAUGUUCACACCAAAAGAUGUAGAGUUAAUAAUGAUAGUACCACUUUCUCGUGGCACUGCCGCUUAAGUCAUAUUGGCGUAAGAUGCAUGAAGAAACUCCAUGUCGAUGGAUGUUUGGAGUCACUUGAUUUUGAAUCGCUUGACACAUGCGAGCCAUGCCUCAUGGGCACGAUGACUAAGACCCCGUUUUCAGGUACAAUGAAACGGGCAAGUGACUUGUUGGAGAUCAUGCAUGCUGAUGCAUGUGAUCCAAUGAGAAUUGAAGCAUGCAGUGGAUAUCACUAUUUUCUCAUCUUCACUGACGAUUUGAGUAGAUAUAGGUAUAUCUACUUAAUGAAGCACAAGUCUGAAACGUUUGAAAAGUUUAAGUGAUUUCAGAGUGAAGUUAAGAAUCAUCAUAACAAUAAGAUCAUGUUCCUACGAUCUGAUCAAAAGGGGAUUUUCUGAGUUAUGAGUUUGGCAAUCACUUAAGACAUUGUGGAAUUGUUUCAUAGUUGAAGCCACCUGGAACACCACAAGGUAAUGGUGUAUCCGGACGUCGUAAUCGAACACUAUGAGAUAUGGUGCGAUCUAUGAUGUCUCUUACCAAUCUACCGUUUUCAUUUUAAGGUUAUGCGUUAGAGACAGCUGCAUUCACUUUAGAUAGGACACCAUCUAAGUCCGUUGAGACGACGUCGUACGAACAUUGGUUUGGCAAGAAACCAAAGUUGUCGUUUCUUAAUGUUUGGGGCUGCGAUGCUUAAGGCUUCAGCCGGAGAAGCUCGAACCCAAAGCAGACAAACACAUCUUCAUAGGAUACCCAAAGGUGACAGUAGGGUAUACCUUCUAUCUCAGAUCCGAGGGCAAAUUGUUUGUCACUAAGAACGGGUCCUUUCUCGAGAAGGAGUUUCUCUCAAAAGAAUUGAGUGGGAGGAAGAUAGAACUUGAUGAGGUUGUCGAACCUUUACUUCAACCAGAGAGUGAUGCAACACAGAAAUAUGUUUUCUGUGGCACCUACGUCUGUUGAAGAGGAAGUUAAUGAUAGUGAUCAUGAAGCUUCGGAUCAAGUUGCUAUCGAACCUUGUAGGUCGACAAGGAUAUGUACUACUCCUGAGUGGUACAGUAAUACUGUCUUAGAUAUCAUGUUGUUAGACAACAAUGAACCUACGAGCUAUGGAGAAGCGAUGGUGGGCCUGUAUUCAGACAAAUGGUUAGAAGCCAUGAAAUCUGAGAUAGGAUCCAUGUAUCAGAACAGAGUAUGGACUUUGGUGGACUUGGCCGAUGAUCGGCAAGCCAUUGAGAAUAAAUGGAUCUUUAAGAAGAAGACGAACAUGGACGGUAAUGUUACCGUCUAUGAAGUGCGACUUGUGGGAAAGAGUCUUUUCACAAGUUCAAGGAGUUGACUACGAUGAGAAUUUCUCACUCGUAGCGAUGCUUAAGUCCGUCGGAAUCAUGUUAGCAUUAGCUGUAUUUUUCGAUUAUGAAAUCUGACAGAUGGAUGCCAAAACAAGUUUUCUUACCAGUUUCCGUAAGAAAAGUUUGUAUGUGAUACAAUAAAAGGUUUUGUCGAUCCUAAGGAUGCUAAAAGGUAUGCUUGCUCCAGCAAUCCUUCUAUGGACUAGAGCAAGCAUCUCGGAGUCAGAAUACAUGCUUUGAUGGAGUGAUCAAAGCUUUUAGGUUUAUACAAUGUUUGCUACAAACUUGUAUUUACAAGAAAGUGAGUGGGAGCACAACAACAAUUCUGAUAAGUAUAUGUGGAUGACAUAUUGUAAGAUCCGAAAUAAUGUAGAAUUUCUGGAAAGCAUAAACGGUUGUUUGAAGAGUGUUUUUCAAAGGAGGACCUGGAUAAAGCUGCUUACAAAUUGGGCAUCAAGAUCUAUAGAGAUAGAUCAAGACGCCUGAUGAUACUUUCAAAGAACACACACCUUGACAUGUUUUUGAAGGAGUUCAAAAUAGAUCAGUCAAAGAAGGGGUUCUUACCUGAGUUGUAUGGUGUGAAGUUGAGUAAGACUCGAAGCUUGACCACGACAGAAGAAAGAGGAAGGACGAAGGUCGUCCCCUAUGCUUUUGUCAUAGGCUCUAUACGGUAUGCCAUGCUGAAGUACCGCACCUGAUGUUUGCCUUGCCACAUGUCUGGCAAGAGGGUACAAAGGUGAUCUAGGAGUAGAUCACCGGAUAGCGGUCAAAAAUUAUCCUUAGAGGAAUAAGGAAAUGUUUCUCGAUUAUGGAGUUGAUAAAGAGUUCGACGUAAAGAGUUACAUCGAUGCAAGCUUAACACCUAUCCGGAUAGCUCUGAGUAGAGAUAUCAGAUACGUAUAAUGGAGCAACAAUUUGGAAUAGCUCCAAGUGGAACGUGGUAGCAGCAUCUACGAUAUAAAGUUUUGCGAAAUACAUAGGGAUCUGAAUAUGGAAAGACCCGUUGACUACAACCUCUCUCACAAGCAUAACAUGAUCAAACCCAAAACUCUUUGAGUGUUUAUCACAUAGUGACGUGAACUAGAUCAUUGAGUCUAGUAGACUCUUGGAUGUAGGUCACAUGGCGAUGUGACCUGUGAGUGUUAAUCACAUGACGAUGUGAACUAGAUUAUUGACUCUAGUGCAAGUGGGAGACUGUUGGAAAUAUGCCCUAGAGGCAAUAAUAAAUUGGUUAUUAUUAUAUUUCCUUGUUCAUGAUAAUCGUUUAUUAUCCAUGCUAGAAUUGUAUUGAUAGGAAACUCAGAUACAUGUGUGGAUACAUAGACAACACCAUGUCCCUAGUAAGCCUCUAGUUGACUAGCUCGUUGAUCAAUAGAUGGUUAUGGUUUCCUGACCAUGGACAUUGGAUGUCGUUGAUAACGGGAUCACAUCAUUAGGAGAAUGAGGUGAUGGACAAGACCCAAUCCUAAGCCUAGCACAAGAUCGUGUAGUUCGUUUGCUAAAGCUUUUCUAAUGUCAAGUAUCAUUUCCUUAGACCAUGAGAUUGUGCAACUCCCGGAUACCAUAGGAGUGCUUUGGGUGUGCCAAACGUCACAAUGUAACUGGGUGGCUAUAAAGGUACACUACAGGUAUCUCCGAAAGUGUCCGUUGGGUUGGCACGAAUAGGGACUGGGAUUUUUCACUCCGUGUAAACGGAGAGGUAUCUCUGGGCCCACUCGGUAGGACAUCAUCAUAAUGUGCACAAUGUGACCAAGGAGUUGAUCAUGGGAUGAUGUGUUACGGAACGAGUAAAGAGACUUGCCGGUAACGAGAUUGAACAAGGUAUCGGGAUAUCAACGAUCGAAUCUCGGGCAAGUACAAUACCGUUGGACAAAGGGAAUUGUAUACGGGAUUGAUUGAAUCCUCGACAUCGUGGUUCAUCCGAUGAGAUCAUCGUGGAACAUGUGGGAGCCAACAUGGGUAUCCAGAUCCCGCUAUUGGUUAUUGGCCGGAGAGUUGUCUCGGUCAUGUCUGCAUGGUUCCUGAACCCGUAGGGUCUACACACUUAAGGUUCGGUGACGCUAGAGUUUUUAUGGGAAAUAGUAUGUGGUUACCGAAGGUUGUUCGGAGUCCCGGAUGAGAUCCCGGACAUGACGAGGAGCUUCGGAAUGGUCCGGAGGUGAAGAUCGGUAUAUUGGACGAAGGGUAUUGGAGUCCGGAAGUGUUCCGGGGGUAUCAGGCUAUGACCAGCAUGACCGAAAGGUGUUUCGAGAGCCCCGGCAAGUGUGGGAGGGCCUCAUGGGCAAAGGGGAAGGGGCAAACCAGCCCACUAAGGGGUGGUGCGCCCCCACACCCUUUCCCACGUUACUUGGGGGGUUAGGGCGCUUCCACCUGGCUUGGGAGGCAAGCCUCCACCUGCUUGGCUUGGGGGGCAAGUCUGCCUAGCCGCCGCCCCCUAGGGAGAUCCAAUCUGCCUAGCCGCCGCCCCCUAGGGGAAACCCUAGGGCGCCUCCCCCUCUCCCCUUGCCCCUAUAUAUAAUGGAGGGGUGGGAGGGCAGCCAUGACCUCUUCCCUGGCGGAGCCCUCCCUCCUCCAACUCUUCCUCCUCCUCCGUAGAGCUUGGCGAAGCCCUGCAGGAAUACCACAAGCUCCACCACCACGCCGUCGUGAUGCUGGAGUUCUGCCUCAACUUCUCCUCUCCCCUUGCUGGAUCAAGAAGGAGGAGACGUCCCCGGGCUGUACGUGUGUUGAACGCGGAGGCGCUGUCCGUUCGGCGCUAGAUCGGAAUCAACCGCGAUCUGAAUCGCUGCGAGUACGACUCCUUCAUCCGCGUUCUUGCAACGCUUCCACUUAGCGAUCUACAAGGGUAUGUAGAUGCACUCCCCUUCCCCUUGUUGCUAGAUUACUCCAUAGAUUGAUCUUGGUGAUGCAUAGAAAAUUUUAAAUUUCUGCUACGAUCCCCAACAGGAAGCUGUUUUUGUAGGGUCCGUUGGAUGGACUUGGAAUUUGACAAUUUCGUUCGCCAGCUUAAAGGAGGUGGACUUGGAUCUUUUAUCGAGUAUCACGUCGUCCCUGUUCACUGUGGAGCGCAACACAGUUAGUUCUUCGGCCGCUAGGGCUUCGGAUAGUGCCUCAAGGGCGAGUGCAGCUGUCUUAUUUUCGGCGCGGAGUGCUAUGUCCAGAUCACUAACAAGAGUGAUGAUUCCGUUGGGCCCGGGUAUUUUGAGCUUCAUGUACCCGUAAUGGGGUAUGGCUUGGAAGAUUGUAAACGCCUCCCGCCCUAAUAGAGCGUGGUAUCCGCUGCUAAACGGGGCCACUUGGAAUGUAAUUUCUUCGGACAUGUACUUAUCCGACGUGCCGAAUACCAUGUCUAGUGUGAUUUUUCCAACGCAGCGUGCUUCCCGACUGGGGAUGAUUCCUCUAAAGGUUGUGCUGCUUUACUUAACGCGGCUCCAGUCUAUUUCCAUCUUUUGAAGAGUUUCCUCAUAGAUGAGGUUUAAUCCACUGCCGCCGUCCAUGAGUACCUUGGUGAGUCGAAAGCCGUCCAUGAUUGGACUGAGGACCAGUGCGGCUGGUACUCGGGUUGUUCGGAAUUUAGGUUCGUCACUGGCAUUGAAGGUAAUAGCCGUGUCGCUCCAAGGAUUUAUUUCUGCUAUGUGGCAGAUUUCGGACAGGCUGUGGAGUGUUCGCUUCCAUCUAUUAUUUGACGCGAAGGUCUCAAAGACCGUUAAGACCGUAUUGUUGUGCUCGAGGUGGUGCUAUGUGGUUUUGGGGAGGAGUAGAUCCUCACCACUUUUGGCCACCAGCCGGAGUAUCCAGCAUGCUCUAAGGCUGUGCGUUGGUACUCGCAUCCGUUGUACUAUGAAUUUUGCAGGGUCCGUUGAGCCAUCCCUCCAGUACGGUUCCUUGCCCCGUAGAGGGCUUUUGCUUUUUGGUAGUUAACCCAGGUGUAUUGUGAUAAUGCACCCUUUUAUUUCGGACUGGGUUUGUAUUCAGGGCCGGAUUAUCCCAAAAUUUUAUUUCGGUUUUCCAGGCGCUUUCCAUCGCACAGUACUUUCGUACUAUGGACACCAAGUCGGUAAAGCGUGUAAUUUCGCGACGACUUAUGGCGUUGAGGAUUCCCUUGUCCAUGCAAUUAUUGCAGAAGAAUGAAAUUGCAUCUUCCUCGCGGCAGUCCUUUAUCAUGUUCUUGACCAGGAGGAAUUUGGCCCAGUAAUGGUGUACUGUUUCUUCGGGCUCUUGCCUAAUUUGGGAUAGAUCGCGUAUGUUUGGGUGGGUGGGUGGAAUUGAAUCCGAAUCCUCACCCAAUCUGAGGCUCAGUGGCCAAGGAGUUUCUGAUCUCGAAAGUUUGGAUUCUUGGAUGUCUUCCGGAAAAUCUAGCCCGCUGCCUGAUUCUGGGUUCAGGCUUUGAGUGACAUCCUCCCCUCCGUUGUUAUCCAGCUUGGAGGGAUCGGGAAUCCGGACUUAGCUAGUCCUUAAGAUGGAUGAAGGGUUGCCGCAUUGUUCUUCCACCACUGCAACGUGAUGGGUGACCUGGGGAGAGUUAAUUUCUCUCAGAUCGGGUUUGGGCCCAAUCUGAUCAUAGUCUGUAGCAACUCCCAGGGCGGCGAUGCGAUCCAAGAGCUCGUUCAGGGAAGAGAGCUCCAUUGGAUCUAAUUGCUCGGCGAGUUCCGAGUUGACGUGAAGAUUGCUUUCGAUGACCCGAGAAGUCAUCGUCGACGCAGCGGCCGAACAGGCGGUCAUAAGAAAACCACCUAGCCGGAGAGUUUGGCCGAUAGCCAGAGCUCCCUUAGUGAUAGUGUCGUCUUUAAAGACGGGACGAGACAUCCUUCCUGGUGGCGACGGCACAGCAGAACUCUCAAUGAAAGCACCAAUGUCGGUGUCAAAACCGGCGGAUCUCGGGUAGGGGGUCCCGAACUGUGCGUCUAGGCCGGAUGGUAACAGGAGGCAGGGGACACGAUGUUUUACCUAGGUUCGGGCCCUCUUGAUGGAGGUAAAACCCUACGUCCUGCUUGAUUAAUAUUGAAGAUAUGUGUAGUACAAGAGUAGAUCUACCACGAGAUCAGAGCGGCUAAACCCUAGAAGCUGGCCUAUGGUAUGAUUGUAUGUUGUGAUUGUUGUUCUACGGACUAAAACCCUUCGGUUUAUAUAGACACCGGAGAGGGUUAGGGUUACACAAGGUCGGUUACAAAGGAGGAGAUAUCCAUAUACGUAUUGCCUAGCUUGCCUUCCACGCCAAGUAGAGUCCCAUCCGGACACGAGAUGAAGUCUUCAAUCUGGUAUCUUCAUAGUCCAACAGUCCGGACAAUGGAGAUAGUCCGGCUAUCCGGAGACCUGCUAAUCCAGGACUCCCUCAAGGAGCAACAAUUUCAGUUCAAAUAUUGUCACUUGCAUGUGUUUUUCUUACUGAUUUAUUGUAUAGACAUUGUCAAGUAGUCAAUUAGCGAUAGUACAUGUUUUCUGAUUCUUGCAUAUUUGAGAGGGGCCAACUGUAUGUGGGAUUGAUGAUCAGGAACUAAUUGAAUGUCAGCCUCAUUGCCAUUUUGGGUAGAAUUCUUAUCAGCUGAACAUUGCUUCUGAUUAGGACUUGAUGAUGAUACAAGACGGUGUAACAAGACAAUGUAGUAUGAGAGUAUUUCACAAAUCACACAAUCUGUGAAGAAGACUAUGCGCUACUACACCGGAUUAUAUAGAUUCACACUUGAUCUAAGAUAAUAGUGUAUAAUUCAUUCAGUUCAAUCUACAUAUGUAGGUAGGGAACAAGAAUUAUCUCGUAACAGAAAAUACUUUACAAAGUUGUCAUAUUGGUUAUUAUUACCCCAAAUAAUGAUGCAUUAACGAUGUUAAUA